Meriones unguiculatus (Mongolian gerbil) is the source of this 3900-nucleotide long non-coding RNA. RefSeq lists it as uncharacterized. NCBI's taxonomy places the organism in Eukaryota, Metazoa, Chordata, Mammalia, Rodentia, Muridae. The transcript has 3 exons. The record is from RefSeq and is a predicted model, not a curated record.
UUGCCCACUAGAAUGUCAGGCCCACGUGGCUAGAGACGACCUGUUUCAGACGCUUACGUUCCCAACACCGGAAAUGCAAUCGUGCCGCAUCUUGCGCGGCUGACGUGAGGAAAUCAACUAGAAACUCCUUCAGUAUUUAAGAAACAUUUACUUGUUUUGAGGCAAGAUAUUACUGUGCAGCCCAGGCGGCCUCCAAGUCCAGGCUGGCCUUCUGCCACAGCCUCUCAGUGCCUCAAUGCUGGAGAUGACAAGGACUCAUCCACAUAUCCAGCUUCCUAGAAAAUGAAUCCAGAUGCUUUUUGUUCUUUUGUUUGUUUGUUUGUUUUUUUGUUUUUGUUGUUUUGAGACAGGGUGUUUCUCUGUGUGGAUCUCUAUUUGUAGACCGGGUCUCCAACUCUCAGAGAUCCACCUGCCUCUGGCUCAAUUUUGAAAGAAGGAGUUAAUGCUUGAUUGGAUGGGGGUGUUCUCUCUGCAUGUACAUCUGUGUACCAUCUGUGUGCCUGAUGCCAGCACAGGCCAAAAUGGGGUGUCAGAUCCCCUGGGACUGGAGUUACAGAAGGCUGUGAGCUAUCUUGUGAAUACUAGGAACCGAAGCCAGGUCCUCUGCAGCUCCAAAGCCAACUCUUAACGACAUGCUGUCAUCCUGCUGAGGAGAUUCCUCAGAUGAAUUAAUAGGCCCAUUGUGGUCACAUGCCAGGUAUUGUGGUUAGAGGUGCUGAGCCUGUGUGUCUUGCAUAGCAAUGGGUUCUUCCUGCUGUUUCAUCCUAUUCAUCACUGAAAAUCUGAGCAAAGGGUUUGUCCGACACCAUCUGUAGAUUGGAUCAAGAAGAUUAAAACUCUUCCCUUGACACUGGGCUAUCUUCUGGGGAAAUUGACCUCAGUCAGAGCAUCAAAUCAUUUUUGAUUUUUGGUAGUGCUGGAGGUUGACUGACCCCAGGGCCUCCAGUAUGUUAACAGCAGCCCAGUGUUGCCUGAAACACAUUCUGCAGCCUCUGAAACAAUGAGGUUUUGAUGACCUGGACAUUGAGAAGUGAUACUGCUUCCUUUCCAGGGGGAAAGUCAAAUAUAGCAUCCCAGCCCCUUGAGCAUUACAUUUGCACAUAUGAAUGGGCAAUAAAGCUUAAAAAAAAAAACCUUUUUUAUUCUCCUUAAGAAAGUUAUGCAUCAAGAAAUUCCCAGGUAUAUUUAUGCUAAUGAUGAGGAGAGGGCAGUUUGAAAUUCCUACAUAAGAAAAACCUAGUGUGUCUGAAAGAACUCAAAUCUAGCCAAUUGGAUGUACCUUGUUAUUUUAAUCACUUAAAAAUUCAACAGGAAAAAAAAAUUCAACAGGCAAUUACUGUGUCAAUACAGUAUUUGUUACAUAAUUUCCAUUUUUGUACAGUAUCUAUUUCUAUAUAUCUGUGAAAAAAACUAGGAUAUAUAGUAAUAUUGUUUUUUUUUCUCCAUAAACUAAUGGUGUGUAGACUGCAAUAUUUAAGAAUAGCAGAGAUAAAGAAGGAUAAUGGGCUAUGUGAAGGAAUGAUUAAUUCAGCCUUGAGGUCUCUGUAAAAAUGCCAGUGUCACAGAUACAAUAACAGUUGAUUGCGAUUUUUGAAGGAUGCAUACCAGGCUGAAGUUACACAGUUGGAGAAGAAGUUCAGAUUGGAGGAGAUGUUACAGGAUGUAGAAUCUAAUGCCAUAGACUGGAAACAGUGGCUCAUCCCUAUCAUCCCAGCUUUCCUGAGGCUGACACAGGAAUACUUUCCAGAGUAUGAGGCCACCCUAGGCUAUACAUUGAGCUCCUGGACAGCCUGGGUUAGAGACCCCUUCUCAAAAAAGAAAAUAAAACAGACACUUGGGCCAUAGUAUGGAGAACUGAGUAACACUCAAAUUCUAGAAGUUACAGGGCUGCCUGUGACUGAAAAUGGAAUUUUGGGGGAAAUUCAGUGUCUUAGUUACUGCUCUAUGGCUGUGAGGAGACACCAUGACCAAGGCAAUGUGUAAGGGAAAAGCAUUUAAUUGGGACUUUGCUUACAAUUUUAGAUGGUUAGUCUGUUAUCAUCAUGGUUGUGGAGAGCUGCUUGUUUAUCAAGCUGCUUUGUUACUGAGUAUUGAGUGAAAAACAUGUUUUCACCCUGGCCUGUACCUUGAGACAGAGAGAAGAGAAUGUUUCCCCAAGUUCCUUAAAACUUGUUUGUGUAACUUUGGACCAUAUCUGCUACAGGGAAGUAGUUAAAGAAAACAAGUUUGGCAGUUCCAUGAACUUUCUUGUAUUGAUGUGACUUGUUUUUGCUUUGCCUAUAAAAGGGAAUUGUGGAAUAUACUUAUGGCUGCAGUCUUCCUGACAAGUCCUCUUGAGAUGAUUCCAUGUGUAGAGUGACUUGCUUUCAUUAUUUCAGUCCUCAGUUCCCACUCAGGUACUGUUCGACUCUGCUGGCAGGCUCUGGCAGUUUGGCACCAGAAACCUGAGGUAUAGAGAAGCAGUGAAGGAUACCACAGUGUUGGUGAGCUUGGACCAUAAACUAAAGAGAAAGGGGCAUGGAUUUAUCAUGGCAACUCCCUUAGGAGGAGAAACCAACAAACGUAAGUCAUUGCUUAAAAUGUUUUGUUACAAUUGGUAUUCCUUCCAUUAUAAAGACUGAUAAUGGGACUGGAUAUAAGAGUCAAGCUUUUCAGUGUUUUUGUGCUCAAAUGAAUAUAAGUCAUAAAACAGGUAUUCCAUAUAACCCUCAAGGCCAAGGAGUUGUUGAGCGUGCCCAUGGAUCUCUUAAGAACCAAUUGUAAAAAAUAAAAGGGGGGAGUUAGAUCCUCAAACACUACAGAAUUAUCUCAAUCAUGCUCUAUUUUAAAGUUUUCAAAUAUGGAUAUACAAGGCCAUUCUGCGACUGAUCAACUGUGGCACCCUAAUACCAAAGAUAAUUAUGCCCAAGUGAAAUAGAAAGAUCUGAUUUCUGGAAUAUGGCAGGGCCCCGACCCUGUAUCAAUAUGGGGAAGAGGGCAUGUUUGUGUUUUUCCGCAGGAUGCUCAAGGAGCCUGUUGGAUCCCAGAAAGGUUGGUGCGAUUUGCAGGAGAUGUUCCCUGGAAGGAGGAUGAUGAAUUUUGUCCUGAUGAUGAACGGAAAGCUGUAUUGGGCUUAUGCUCCUGGCUCACCUUUGCUACAUUCUGCUCCUGAGAGAAGAUGUUGUGCAGAGAAACCUUUUAGAUACAAUGUGACUGGACUUGAUUGGUCUGGUAAUCAGGAUGAUUCUCAAUAAAAUUGGGAAGAAUGGGAAAGAGGACUGACUAUGGUACUUCUGGUUUUCAGCAGACCUGUAUUUGGAAGCUUGCUGCUGAACUCUCGGGAGGCCCUGUAACUGCCUGUGUAAAUCCUCCUUAUGCUUUGUUGUUUGGAAUGGUUAACAUUUUUAUGCAAGAUUCAAACUUUAAUAUUUCUUGCCAUCAAUGUAAACUAACAAACUGUAUUUCUAAGCUUUCAAAUGGACAAUAGGUUCUGGUUGUUCAACAGCCUUUUUUUUGUUAUGGUUCCUGUGAAUGUUUCUCAGGCUUAGAAUUCUGAUAAGGGAUUACAAGUGCUAGAAGCAGACCUAAAAGAAUGGUUGGGUUAAUUAUUGCAGAUAUUAUGGCCCUCCUGGACAUCUUUUUUUGUCACUUUUAUGGAGUAUUACAGGACUUGGCUUAUUACUCUUAUUAGGAGCAUGUCUCCUACCAGUGAUAAUUAAAACCUUCAUCAAGACCUUCCAGCAUCUACCCUAGCGGAGGUUGGUUGUCAAGGAUUGUUACUAUCUCGCUGAGGAAUAUUCAACCUAAGACAGGGCAUGAAUGAUGGAGUCAUGUACCAAUGAGACAGCCUAACACAGGCACAAUCUUCUGCUCCAUAGCUCUUAAGCUAUGGUCUUUUAAAAUAUAAAAAGGGAGACCUGU